CCAGACUCCUACGGGAGGCAGCAGUGGGGAAUAUUGCACAAUGGGGGGAACCCUGAUGCAGCGACGCCGCGUGAGUGAAGAAGUAUUUCGGUAUGUAAAGCUCUAUCAGCAGGGAAGAAAAUGACGGUACCUGACUAAGAAGCCCCGGCUAACUACGUGCCAGCAGCCGCGGUAAUACGUAGGGGGCAAGCGUUAUCCGGAUUUACUGGGUGUAAAGGGAGCGCAGACGGCUGUGCAAGUCUGGAGUGAAAGGCGGGGGCCCAACCCCCGGACUGCUCUGGAAACUGUAAAGCUGGAGUGCAGGAGAGGUAAGCGGAAUUCCUAGUGUAGCGGUGAAAUGCGUAGAUAUUAGGAGGAACACCAGUGGCGAAGGCGGCUUACUGGACUGCAACUGACGUUGAGGCUCGAAAGCGUGGGGAGCAAACAGGAUUAGAUACCCCUGUAGG
RNAcentral lists this ribosomal RNA (446 nucleotides) under uncultured bacterium. RNAcentral's name for it is "bacterial SSU rRNA". It matches the Rfam family "Bacterial small subunit ribosomal RNA", at positions 331 to 794 of the family's 1533-position model. The record is from RNAcentral.